GCUGGCAGCUGCAGCUCCCGUUUGACCCCUAGCCUGGGAACACCCAUAUGCUGCAGGUGCAGCCCUAAAAAGCAAAAUACAUACAUACAUACAUGCAUACAUACAUACAUAAGAGGGAAAAAGCAUUACUUAUGUUUGCCUAGAUGAGGUAAAAAGGCUGAACUAGAAUAUUACAGAGAUUGAGGAUAGUUAUGUCUUCCAGAGAACUGGCCCCAGAUCUCAACAUGUAAUACAAGGUAGACCUGGAGUUAAAUUCUGAGAUGACCUGGGUUUGCUAAACUCAAGCGUUAAUCUUGUGAUUUAGAAAAUUCGAUCAAAGUAGCUUUUGUUCUUCUCGACUAGGGAAUUUUCUUUAUUAAAGUUCUUUUGAAAAUGUUACCUGGAAUUUUAUACAUUUCCCUUUUCUGAUCCUUCUUUGAGUGUCAUGUAUCUUUUCCAUGUUACUCACAAUAAAUUGGGUAGGUGCCUCCAUGCAAGAAAAAGGAUGUUUUCUACUGUGUUUGCAGUACCUCUGUGUGGAAGCCUGUUUUUGCUGAAAUCUUUUUAUUAUUCCAGCUCACUGUAAUGAAAUCUAUAAAGGAUUCCCAUUUAAAAGAAAGGAAGGGAGUUCCCGUAGUGGCUCAGUGGCUAAUGAAUCCAACGAGGAACCAUGAGGUUGCGGGUUCGAUCCCGGGCCUUGCUCGGUGGGUUGAGGAUCCGGCGUUGCCGUGAGCUGUGGUGUAGGUCACAAAGGUGGCUCAGAUAUGGUGUUGCUGUGGCUGUGGCGUAGACCAGCGGCUGCAGCUCCGAUUAGACCCCUAGCCUGGGAACCUCCAUAUGCCGCAGGAGCGGCCCUAGAAAAGGCAAAAAGACAAAUAAAUAAAUAAACAAAUAAAAGGAAGAUAAAAGGAACAAUACAUAAAUGUAAACCAAUUCAGAACUCUCAAAUUAUUUUUAAAAUUUUUACAUAUGCAUCAAUAAAACAUACUUGCAUAAAGUUUUAAUGGGAAAUAUUUAUCAAUCCCCUUUUCAAAAAUAUAAGUGCACAAGUGUUGGUAGCUAAAAAAGAUGAAAUUUGUUGAAUCUCUGGACUUAUGAAAAUACUUAUUUUUGGGAGCUAUUAUAUAAGUGCACAAGUGUUGGUAGCUAAAAAAGAUGAAAUUUGUUGAAUCUCUGGACUUAUGAAAAUACUUAUUUUUGGGGGCUAUGUGUCCUCUUUGACACAAAUAUAUCUGAUAUUCUCAAUGAAAUUGCUUACAAAAUAGGACUAAAUCUGCCCGAAUUUUAUGUUAGACAUCCUCAAUGAAUGUAGCAAGGAAGAAGAGCUGGAAGUGGAACCUAAAGGAUACUGUCUUGGUACCUUUUCAGUAAGUUUUCAUCAGAUUUUAGAGGGUAGAGAUUUAUUAUACUCUUCAAAUAGGAUUCAUUUACCCUGAUUCAUCUUUCCUCGUUAUACACAGUUAAGCACAGAAAAAAAUUAACAAACUCUUAAUGCCUACUAAUGAUUUGUUUUCAUAUUUGAUUCUUGCUAUUUAUUCUUAGGCCCUCCCAAGUGGAAAUGUUGAAAAUACCAUUCCUUGGCUCUCCCUGGUUGGCUUAGUGGGUUAAGGAUCAGGUGUUGUCGCUUUGUCACUGCUGCGGUUCGGGUCAGUAUUUUGUGUUAUCUCGUAUAUCCAUUAUAGCAUCAGGAGUAAUUAGUACCACACACUAGAAAGCCACCAUCCUAGGAAUGAAUCUCCUGGGUGCUGAGCUCUGAAGGAAAAGUUGAGGGUCUUUAGGGCGGCGAGGUGGUGACUGUAUAACUACAUUACUUCAAUGUUCUGUCUUAUGUGCGGCUCAAGAAAUAUCUGUUUACUUUAAUUGAGUGGGCAUAAAUAGCAUUUACCAGAAAUCCUUUGCUGGCAGCCAGCUGCAUUGGGCUGUGGAGAACCGUAGAGUAUUCUCCCUGGAGUUGGAGGGAACACAACCUCUUUUUAGUGUUCAUCUUUGAUCAAAGGGGAGACUUACAUUGUAAGAUCAGUUAUGAUUUCAUUCUGAUUACCAUUAAGUGGUUUAAUAGAAAACAAAUUUUAUAUUCUCCUAAAGAAUCUAUGGGCAAAAAAGACAAAUAAAGUAAAAUACUGGGUUUUCAGAUAAUUUGUUUUUAGUGGUUUUCAUUUUCUUAAGAAAUUAAGAAUUGCUUUCUUUUUAUGUUUCCAUAAUAGCAAGGCUACUUUGUCAUCUGACUUUCUCUGAUAUAAAACUGGGUGAGCUAGAGGGAAUAUGUAGAAACCAACCCCAAACCACCUGGAUAUAGUUUACUCCGUCUCCAUCAAUCAUUUAUUGCAGACUUGAUAUCUUAAUGUUUCAGCUGUCAGAACACUGACUUUAAUCUAAGGAAGUCUAUGUUUUUGUUUACAUUAUCUCAAUUCCAAGUAUCUAUGGGAAAAAAAUUAUGGGAUGUCAGAAAUAUCGAAGAUUAUUAUGUCUGCUUAAUGAGAUGGAUACUCCCUAAACAAACUAAAGUCAGUGAUACGGAAUGUGAGCAGCAGAAAAACAUUCUAAAGUUAAGGAAGGUGGGAGUGGGGGGAGGGUAGCAGUUUAGGAAGCAGUGAAGUUAGUCUGAGAUAUUUGCUUGGUGUUGGCCUCUGAUGGUCAUGAAGAAAAGGGACUGUCUUGUAAUCCUUUUCUCUAUAUUUUUUCUUUUUAUUUAAAAGUGGCUUUUAUUACUUUUUUAUGGCAGUAUAGUUGAUUUACGAGGUUGUGCUAAUUUCUGCUGUACAGCAGUGACCCGCUCAUAUAUAUACAUUCCACUAUCUUCCAUCACGGGCUGUCCCGAGAGAGUGGAUAUAGCUGCCUGUGCUGCACAGAAGGACCUCUUUGCGUAUCCAUUCUAAAUGUAAUAGUUUGCAUUUUUCAUCUUUCUGAAGAAAGUUCGAUUUUCCCUUGUUAGCCCUGAAACGUUUCUUUUUUCUCCAAAGUUUUACCUUUUCUCUUUAUAAAUGCUCACAGGUCAGAGUCAUGAGCAUCUGGUGCUUGUUCAGUAAAAGAUAGUCAUGUUGUCUUAGAAGAAAGGCCUCAGGUUACUACACAUACUUCCGGUCCCCAGCCUGGCGUCGCUAUGCAGAUGGAGAUUUUAGAUCAUAGCAUGAUUACCUGUGAUACAUUUUCUUGUCUUUCCUUCUUUCUUAAUUUUGCGUUUCUUAAAAUUCCUAACCAAGUGUAUCAUAAGCAUUGCUUAAAAAUAUGACAUAAGUUACUUUUCAUUUCCAAAAACUAUCAGGACAUCAAAGGGAGGCGUUCCUGUCAUGGCUCAGGAGUAAUGAACCCAGGAGGGAUGCAGGUUCAAUCCCUGGCCUUGCUCAAUUGGCUAAGGAUCCGGCAUUGCCUGGAGCUGUGGUGUAGGUUGCAAACUAGGCUUGGAUGCUGCCUUGCUGUGGCUGUGGCCUAGGCUGGCAGAUGUAGCUCUGUUUGGACCCCUAGCCUGAGACUGUCCAUAUGCCAUGAGUGUGGCCCUAAAAAGCAAAAAAAAAAAAAAGGAAGGAAGGAGAGAAAGAAAGAAAGAGAGUCAGAGGGACAACCUCUUGGCAUGGCGUUUCUCAUCAUACUUGUAUAGUUUGAAGAUAGAAUUCUGAAAGAGAACGGUAACCUCAGACUGAUAUUUCAAAGGAGGACACAGUUGUUUUUAAAACCUCAUGUAAUCAUUCAACCUGGCAAGACUAAGGUUCUAAUGCUAUCGGAGUCCACAGUCAUGGGCGAGAAGGUGGGGUCCUCACCCCGCCUUCACCUGAGUGGAAUAAUGGUCCAUGAGACGAGUUUGAAGGAUGCAGCCCAUUGAGAAAAUGUUCCCCAGGGACUUUUUGCCCCUCUGGAGCUACUUACUGCUUCUCCCUAUUAAAUGAGUACUAAUAAAGUUUCUAAUCACUUGAUGUGCUCACCAAAUACCUGAAUUUUUCAGUAUGUCAUUUUCUUUGGGAGAAGCAGCAGCCAGAGACUGCCUGAUGCUUGGAGGGAAAGAUGGCCUUUAAGGAGGAAUGUAGGUACAGAAAGGGAGGCACAGGAGGACAGAUUUAAGUUGCUGUAACUUCCUCUAAGAAUUGACUUGAUAGCAAGCAGAUAAUUCCAUUUUGUGAAGGUCUACAACUUGAAAGCAUUCUGAGAUGUUUGGAGGGGAUGCAUUCAUCUCAAAGUGGAACAGUAAAGAAGAUUGUAAAAGGAAGAUUUCUGAAAGGAGGCUAUGACCAUUUUGAGGAGUAAAGCUAAAAAUAUAGAUUCGUAAAGCAUUUAGCUAAAUUCAUGGAUAAACUAUACUUAUUUAGUUAGGGAGUGUCUGGGUAUGUAUCCCUAAUAUCCUGCAAUUGGUGUUUUGGGAGAGAAAACAGGUAUUGCUUAUCCCAAAGUGCCAUGGUAUCAGGAUUCUUUCAUAAAAUUGAUUAUGGCAUUCUUGGAUUUUUGCAGACUCUCUCUUUGUUAUGCUUUUCAUAUAUAGUGGUUUUAAUUGUGCUUGGUAACAGGUCAAAGAGGAAAUAACUGGUAUGGCUCUAACAAAACAAGAGAUAACAGCCACGUUUUUAUUUAGAGGUGGCAUAAUGCCAAAGGCAUACACUCAGUCCUAUGCACUCACAUUCGCCCACUCGGUCCCUUUGUGCCUGCCCCCGUUUCCUUCCUGCCUUGGCCCUACUUCAUGAAUAAUCAUAGUAUGAAUGAUGAAAUACAGCUAUGAAAUGUUAUGUCAAUUAAAGAGACUUUAUAUGAUGCUAAUUAGAUGAGGAACUGAAGAUGCUUGUCUCCUUUUUCCUCUAAAUUAGUUUUAAUCAAUCUGAACAACAUCCCAAGGAAACAUUUUCAAGGAGAAUUGCAAAAUGGUCAUCAAGAGGAUGAUUUUCCCUGCUCACUAAAUAUGAAAAUCACUAUGCAACAAGUGCAUGAUGUCAAACCCUGGCGUUUAUUAAUAAUGAAAGUAUAGGUCAAAGAGCUCCGGAGCUGGGGGUGGGAGGAUACAUUUAAAACACAUGAUUAAACCUAAGGCACAUUCAGGACUUCACAGUGCUAAUUUACGUAAAAUGAUGUAUUAAAUCUCCACCUGGCAAAGUCAUUUUCAUGUACAAUUCAUUUUCUUGUGUGCCAUGAGAGUUAGGGUUUCUCAUACUAUGAAGAAAUAUAGGGCUCAUUCUGAAAUAUAUAAAAAAUAAAAUAUGCUAGAGAAAAAGGAGUCUGGAUGUCACUUGGCCCACACUUAACGGUGGGUAAGCAUGCGGUUUGGGGCGUCAAACAGACCUUGUGUUCAAUUCCUGUUUCUGGCACCUAACUUACCUUGGGCAAGUUCCUUGGCCUCGGUUUCUCACCAGUAAGAGAGUGUCAUAGAAUUUACCUCACAGGGCGUUUAAAGAAAUAAAUGAGACGAGAUUUAACACCCCUUGAAUCCCUGGAACAGAUGUUUGAGCUAUCACAAGCACUUAGCUAGUUCUAAUACAUGCAUUCCGUAAAUCUUUGUAGCUUGUUUACCUUGUGGAAGGAUAGGACUUUGCUGGAUCCUUUCAAACAGCUUUAAAUGCUAUUUAUUAAAUACGCUAUUAAAUGCUUAUUUUUUCCAAAAAGCAAAGCAAUUUAACUAUGUCAUAUAUUUUGUUCUGUUGCCCUAUGACUUGGACAUGGUGUGUAGACAUGAUGAUAAUGACAUCAUGGAAGUUUUGGAAGUGAAAGCAAUAUUUCCGUAAUGCUGAUAAAAGUAUAUUUAAGCGAACUGGGACCUAACUGUUUUAAUUGCCAGAAAAAUCCAAUUUAUCUUGAAGCAAAUUCUCUGUUCUUAAUUUUCACACACUAAUUUUCCUUCUAUCCCCUAGAGCCAGAGAAUCGAGAUAGCACUUCUACAUGACAGCAGAGAUUUUGCAUCAUAUCCACACCCUUAUAGCCUCAUGUUGUUGUUGUUGUUUAAAUCAUUGUCCCCAACAUAGUCUUUAGUCAUUUAGUUGGUUCUUAAAGGCAAAUACUUAAUUGUUCAAAAAUGGACUGAAGAGGAGUUCCUGUCAUGGCUCAGUGGUUAACGAAUCUGACUAGGAAGUAUGAGGUUUCGGGUUCGAUCCCUGGCCUUGCUCAGUGGGUUGAGGAUCCGGUGUUGCCAUGAGCUGUGGUGUAGAUUUGCAGACAUGGCUCAGAUCCCAGCGUUGCUGUGGCUGUGGCGUAGGCCGGCAGCUAUAGCUCCGAUUGGACCCCUAGCCUGGGAACCUCCAUGUGCCACGGGAGUGGCCCAAGAAAUGGCAAAAAG
RNAcentral lists this long non-coding RNA (6223 nucleotides) under Sus scrofa (pig). RNAcentral's name for it is "lncRNA (ENSSSCG00035052956.1)". Lineage: Eukaryota; Metazoa; Chordata; Mammalia; Artiodactyla; Suidae. The record is from RNAcentral.